UGACCCUUUGUCCCGCCCAUUGUAGCACGUGUGUCGUGGAGCAUUUGGUUUAAUUCGAUGUAAAGCGAAGAACCUUACCAGGGCUUGACAUGCCGCGAAUCCUGUUGAAAGAGAGGGGUGCCCUCGGGAACGCGUACACAGGUGGUGCAUGGCUGUCGUCAGUUCGUGUCGUAAGGUGUUGGGUUAAGUCUCGUAACGAGCGCAACCCUCGUGUUUAGUUGCCACUAUGAGUUUGAAACCUUGAACAGAUAGCCGGUGUGAAGCCGGAGGAAGGCGAGGAUGAGGCCAAGUCAUCAUGCCCCUUAUUCCAUGGGCGACACACGUGCUACAAUGGGCGGGACAAAGGGUCUCGAUCUCGCGAGGGUGAGCUAACUCCAAAAACCCGUCCUCAGUUCGGAUUGCAGGCUGCAACUCGCCUGCAUGAAGCAGGAAUCGCUAGUAAUCGCCGGUCAGCCAUACGGCGGUGAAUCCGUUCCCAGGCCUUGUACACACCGCCCGUCACACUAUAGGAGCUGGCCAUGUUUGAAGUCAUUACCCUUAACCGUAAAGAGGGGGAUGCCUAAGGCUAGGCUUGCGACUGGAGUGAAGUCGUAACAAGGUAGCCAUACUGGAAGGUGCGGCUG
RNAcentral lists this non-coding RNA (623 nucleotides) under Triticum aestivum (bread wheat). RNAcentral's name for it is "Bacterial small subunit ribosomal RNA". It matches the Rfam family "Bacterial small subunit ribosomal RNA", at positions 891 to 1520 of the family's 1533-position model. The record is from Rfam by way of RNAcentral. Lineage: Eukaryota; Viridiplantae; Streptophyta; Magnoliopsida; Poales; Poaceae.